RNAcentral lists this ribosomal RNA (799 nucleotides) under uncultured bacterium. RNAcentral describes it as "bacterial SSU rRNA". It matches the Rfam family "Bacterial small subunit ribosomal RNA", at positions 8 to 795 of the family's 1533-position model. The record is from RNAcentral.
AGAGUUUGAUCCUGGCUCAGAACGAACGCUGGCGGCGCGUUUUAAGCAUGCAAGUCGAACGGUAGAGUAGUGCUUGCACUACUUGAGAGUGGCGCACGGGUGAGUAACACGUAGGUGAUCUACCUCCGGAUUGGGGAUAGCCCGUGGAAACACGGGUUAAUACCGGAUACGACCCUGAGACUGUCGUCUCAGGGGGAAAGGCCCUCAGGGGUCGUCCGGAGAUGAGCCUGCGGUCCAUUAGCUGGUUGGUGUGGUAAGGGCGCACCAAGGCGACGAUGGAUAUGCGGCCUGAGAGGGUGAACGGCCACACUGGGACUGAGACACGGCCCAUACUCCUACGGGAGGCAGCAGCUAAGAAUCUUCCGCAAUGGGCGAAAGCCUGACGGAGCGACGCCGCGUGAACGAAGAAGGCCGUGAGGUUGUAAAGUUCUUUUCCUGGGGAGGAAUAAGGCCUGGAGGGAAUGCCGGGCUGAUGACGUGAACCAGGGAAUAAGCCCCGGCUAAUUCCGUGCCAGCAGCCGCGGUAACACGGAAGGGGCAAGCGUUGUUCGGAUUUAUUGGGCGUAAAGGGCGUGUAGGCGGCAGUGCAAGUCUGGUGUGAAAUAUCCCGGCUCAACCGGGAAGACGCGCCGGAUACUGUGCUGCUUGAGUUUAGGAGGGGGAGCUGGAAUUCCUGGUGUAGGGGUGAAAUCUGUAGAUAUCAGGAAGAACACCGGAGGCGAAGGCGAGCUCCUGGCCAUAGACUGACGCUGAGGCGCGAAAGCGUGGGGAGCAAACAGGAUUAGAUACCCUGGUAGUC